AACGAACGCUGGCGGCAUGCCUAACACAUGCAAGUCGAACGAGACCUUCGGGUCUAGUGGCGCACGGGUGCGUAACGCGUGGGAACCUGCCCUUAGGUUCGGAAUAACUCCCCGAAAGGGGUGCUAAUACCGGAUAAUGUCUUCGGACCAAAGAUUUAUCGCCUUUGGAUGGGCCCGCGUUGGAUUAGCUAGUUGGUAGGGUAAAAGCCUACCAAGGCGACGAUCCAUAGCUGGUCUGAGAGGAUGAUCGGCCACACUGGGACUGAGACACGGCCCAGACUCCUACGGGAGGCAGCAGUGGGGAAUAGUGGACAAUGGGCGAAAGCCUGAUCCAGCAAUGCCGCGUGAGUGAUGAAGGCCUUAGGGUUGUAAAGCUCUUUUACCCGGGAUGAUAAUGACAGUACCGGGAGAAUAAGCUCCGGCUAACUCCGUG
Molecule: ribosomal RNA, 433 nt
Filed under: uncultured bacterium
Lineage: Bacteria
Description: partial 16S ribosomal RNA
Rfam family: Bacterial small subunit ribosomal RNA
Source: RNAcentral